Long non-coding RNA from Perca flavescens (yellow perch), 668 nucleotides. RefSeq lists it as uncharacterized. Lineage: Eukaryota; Metazoa; Chordata; Actinopteri; Perciformes; Percidae. The transcript has 4 exons. The record is from RefSeq and is a predicted model, not a curated record.
CCACCUGGAGCAGUGCUAGUGUCCAUUUCCAGAGAUCCACUCUCCAUAUCUGCCUUUCUGUAUGUCUGGUUGAGGCCAGUCAGUCAGUCAGAGGAGACUGACGACUCUACAGCAACAUCAGCAGCAGCAGUUCAUCUCUCACAUGUCCUUCAACACACCAACAGAGAGUUUUCCCAAACAGUUGCUACACAAUGAUGCAUGAAACAUGACCUACAAAAAAGUAUAAGCCUAGUUUGUGUCUCUGCUUCCAAACUGUCAAACUUCUCCAAACUUUUCUGAAAACACUGCAACAUUCCUGCUUCCGCUUCCUGAAACCAGAGGGGGCGUGUCCGCAGCGGACAGCGGAGGAGAAACAGCCACACCUGUCGGAUUGACUGUUUUUACCUGCAGCACCUACAUGCAACCACCAGAUGGAAACCAAACACUGAUGAUGAUCAUCUUUACUGAGAUGCUCUGCUGCUGAUGGAUCUGCGAUAAUACAACAGCUGCCAAAGAUAUUGAUAAAACUAUUUUAAAAUAUAAGUGAUCUACAUGUAAACCAAACCUACCAUAAUUUGAAUAAUUCAUUUCCUGAUGCUGUUAAAAUGGUCUCUCCAAUUAGUCAUGCUAGACAUUAAAAUGUGUUAUAAACCAUUUAUUAAAUGAUUGCUAGAUAGUACAGUUCAAGU